UAGGACAAAUGGUAGAAGGAUAGAACACAACACUAACAACAAUACAACGUUAAUUGAAUGGAAAUAACUUUGUUUUAGAUGGGUAAAUAUAAUUGCAAAAGUAUAUUUUUCAUGGAGCUAGAAAUUAAUCUAGAAAGGAAGGGACAUAUACCAAUAUUUGAGGUCCAUAACUUGAGAAUAAUCCAUAACAUUGAUCGACAUGAGGAUAUUUUGCAUAGAUCAUAGGCUGACCAUAUCCCUGGUCAAUAUGAGCACGAUAUUCUGGCAAAGAUGUUUGUAGAGAGAUGGCUGUCUGAGGAGACUUUUGUCCAUCACCUGAAGUUUUGCAGUUACCAGGAAAGAUAGUGAAUUGAGUCAUAUUCCCUUUAACUAGCCCUUGCUCGAUACCCAGCCUGGCUUGCUUCAUGGCA
This 410-nucleotide unclassified non-coding RNA is filed under the name Hevea brasiliensis (rubber tree). The record is from RNAcentral. Lineage: Eukaryota; Viridiplantae; Streptophyta; Magnoliopsida; Malpighiales; Euphorbiaceae.